Molecule: ribosomal RNA, 254 nt
Filed under: uncultured bacterium
Lineage: Bacteria
Description: partial 16S ribosomal RNA
Rfam family: Bacterial small subunit ribosomal RNA
Source: RNAcentral
UACGUAGGGUGCGAGCGUUGUCCGGAAUUAUUGGGCGUAAAGAGCUCGUAGGCGGUGUGUCGCGUCGGUCGUGAAAACUUUCAGCUUAACUGGGAGCUUGCGGUCGAUACGGGCAUCACUGGAGUUCGGCAGGGGAGACUGGAAUUCCUGGUGUAGCGGUGAAAUGCGCAGAUAUCAGGAGGAACACCGGUGGCGAAGGCGGGUCUCUGGGCCGAUACUGACGCUGAGGAGCGAAAGCGUGGGGAGCGAGCAGG